AUUGAACGCUGGCGGUAUGCUUAACACAUGCAAGUCGAACGAUGAGAAAGAGCUUGCUCUUUCGAUUAGUGGCGGACGGGUGCGUAACGCGUAGGAAUCUACCUAUUAGUGGGGGACAACUUAGGGAAACUUAAGCUAAUACCGCAUACGCCCUACGGGGGAAAGAAGGGGAUCGCAAGACCUUUUGCUAAUAGAUGAGCCUGCGUAGGAUUGGCUAGUUGGUGGGGUAAAAGCUCACCAAGGCGACGAUCCUUAACUGGUUUGAGAGAAUGAUCAGUCACACUGGAACUGAGACACGGUCCAGACUCCUACGGGAGGCAGCAGUGGGAAAUAUUGGACAAUGGGCGAAAGCCUGAUCCAGCAAUACCGCGUGUGUGAAGAAGGCCUUAGGGUUGUAAAGCACUCUCAAUUGGAAGGAAAACCUCGAAGCUAAUACCUUCGAGUUUGACAUUACCUUUAGAAGAAGCACCGGCUAACUCCGUGCCAGCCGCCGCCGUAA
This 499-nucleotide ribosomal RNA is filed under the name uncultured bacterium. RNAcentral's name for it is "partial 16S ribosomal RNA". It matches the Rfam family "Bacterial small subunit ribosomal RNA", at positions 30 to 523 of the family's 1533-position model. The record is from RNAcentral.